This 383-nucleotide ribosomal RNA is filed under the name uncultured bacterium. RNAcentral describes it as "bacterial SSU rRNA". It matches the Rfam family "Bacterial small subunit ribosomal RNA", at positions 29 to 396 of the family's 1533-position model. The record is from RNAcentral.
AACGAACGCUGGCGGCGUGCCUAACACAUGCAAGUCGAACGAGAAAGGGAUUUCGGUCCUGAGUAAAGUGGCGCACGGGUGAGUAACACGUAGGUAACCUACCUCUAAGUUUGGGAUAACCUGUCGAAAGAUGAGCUAAUACUGAAUAAGACCACAGUUUCCUCGGAAGCAGAGGUCAAAGGUAGCCUCUAUUUAUAAGCUAUCACUCAGAGAUGGGCCUGCGUACCAUAGCUAGUUGGUGAGGUAACGGCUCACCAAGGCAAAGAUGGUUAGCUGGUCUGAGAGGAUGAUCAGCCACACUGGAACUGAGACACGGUCCAGACUCCUACGGGAGGCAGCAGUGGGGAAUAUUGCGCAAUGGGCGAAAGCCUGACGCAGCAACG